GGUGUGUGGGCUGGUCCCCCGCAGAUCUGAAUGUUCACUGCUCAUGUUUCUGAUUGAAAUUUGUGUGUAUUUGUUAAAGUCUCAAAAGCAGAAGGGGAGGAUCCAGGUUAAAAGAGUGGCCCUUAUUGGAGGCAAGCCAUCCUUAAUGGAAAAAUCCAGAGAGCUGAUGGAAACACACCAAGCAUUGGAAAGCUUCUGUGUCAACCUGACAGAUGUCAGCCCAAGUUCAUUCCUAUCCCCAGGAAGUCACCUGCCCGGUCCUAGUGUCAACCUCACCUCUGUGUAAAUGUUUAUGCCUCUGACGACAUUGCAGGACACUGGGUCACAGGCAGGUGUGCAUCGUCCUCUAAAUUAUUUAGAAUCUAAAAGAAAGGGUAAACAAAUGGUUUGGAACAAGAAUGCAAUCUACCACACAGAAGUGGCAUUGGUUUAGUAAAAUUUAAUAGUGCCAGA
Suricata suricatta (meerkat) is the source of this 453-nucleotide long non-coding RNA. RefSeq lists it as uncharacterized. NCBI's taxonomy places the organism in Eukaryota, Metazoa, Chordata, Mammalia, Carnivora, Herpestidae. The record is from RefSeq and is a predicted model, not a curated record. The transcript is spliced from 2 exons.